RNAcentral lists this ribosomal RNA (1510 nucleotides) under uncultured bacterium. RNAcentral's name for it is "bacterial SSU rRNA". It matches the Rfam family "Bacterial small subunit ribosomal RNA". The record is from RNAcentral.
AGAGUUUGAUCCUGGCUCAGGACGAACGCUGGCGGCAUGCUUAACACAUGCAAGUCGAACGGAAAGGCCACCUUCGGGUGGUACUCGAGUGGCGAACGGGUGAGUAACACGUGGGUAACCUACCUCUGACUGGGGGACAACCGGGGGAAACUCCGGCUAAUACCGCAUAACGUGCAUUGUCACAAGGCGAUGUACCAAAGUGGCUUCGGCUUUGCGGUCAGAGAUGGGCCCGCGGUGGAUUAGCUUGUUGGUGGGGUAACGGCCUACCAAGGCUACGAUCCAUAGCUGGUCUGAGAGGACGAUCAGCCACACUGGAACUGAGACACGGUCCAGACUCCUACGGGAGGCAGCAGUGGGGAAUCUUGCGCAAUGGGCGAAAGCCUGACGCAGCAAUGCCGCGUGAGGGAAGACGGCCUUAGGGUUGUAAACCUCUUUCGGUUGGGACGAAGCUUUCAGGGUGAAUAGCCCUGUGGAGUGACGGUACCUUCAGAAGAAGCCCCGGCUAACUACGUGCCAGCAGCCGCGGUAAUACGUAGGGGGCAAGCGUUGUCCGGAAUCAUUGGGCGUAAAGAGCGUGUAGGCGGCCCGGAAAGUCUGAUGUGAAAACUUGGGGCUCAACCCCAAGCCUGCAUUGGAUACUGUCGGGCUUGAGUCUGGAAGAGGAGAGUGGAAUUCCUGGUGUAGCGGUGGAAUGCGCAGAUAUCAGGAGGAACACCAAUGGCGAAGGCAGCUCUCUGGUACAUGACUGACGCUGAGACGCGAAAGCGUGGGUAGCAAACAGGAUUAGAUACCCUGGUAGUCCACGCCGUAAACGAUGGACGCUAGGUGUGGGGGGUGUCGACUCCCUCCGUGCCGAAGCUAACGCAUUAAGCGUCCCGCCUGGGGAGUACGGCCGCAAGGCUAAAACUCAAAGGAAUUGACGGGGACCCGCACAAGCAGCGGAGCAUGUGGUUUAAUUCGACGCAACGCGAAGAACCUUACCUAGGCUUGACAUGUGGAAGUAAGCCGUGGAAACACGGCCCCCCGCAAGGGCUUCUUCACAGGUGGUGCAUGGCUGUCGUCAGCUCGUGUCGUGAGAUGUUGGGUUAAGUCCCGCAACGAGCGCAACCCCUGUCCUAUGUUGCCAGCGAGUAAUGUCGGGGACUCAUAGGAGACUGCCGGUGACAAACCGGAGGAAGGUAGGGAUGACGUCAAGUCAGCAUGCCCCUUAUGUCUAGGGCUACACACGUGCUACAUUGGCUGGUACAAAGGGCUGCCAAGCAGUAAUGCGGAGCGAAUCCCAUAAAGCCAGUCUCGGUUCGGAUUGAGGGCUGAAACUCGCCCUCAUGAAGGUGGAGUUGCUAGUAAUCGCGAAUCAGCAACGUCGCGGUGAAUACGUUCCCGGGUCUUGUACACACCGCCCGUCACACCACGAAAGCCGGUAAUACCCGAAGCCGGUGGCCUAACCCGCAAGGGAGGGAGCCGUCGAAGGUAGGAUCGGUGAUUGGGGUGAAGUCGUAACAAGGUAACC